This 72-nucleotide transfer RNA is filed under the name Phedimus odontophyllus. Its description in RNAcentral is "tRNA-His". It matches the Rfam family "tRNA". From Rfam's summary of the family: Transfer RNA (tRNA) molecules are approximately 80 nucleotides in length. Their secondary structure includes four short double-helical elements and three loops (D, anti-codon, and T loops). Lineage: Eukaryota; Viridiplantae; Streptophyta; Magnoliopsida; Saxifragales; Crassulaceae. The record is from RNAcentral.
GGCGGAUGUAGCCAAGUGGAUCAAGGCAGUGGAUUGUGAAUCUACCAUGCGCGGGUUCAAUUCCCGUCGUUC